AGGGCCAUGAGCUUAGUGAUGAGCAUGGAGGCACUAGGGGGUUGAAGGCUGAGCUGUAGUUGAUGAACAGCAUUCUUACAUAGGUAUUCUUCUUGUCCAGGUGGAAUAGGGCAGUGCAAUGGCAAUGAUCUGAAAUUGCAACUCAGCUUUGUCCUUGUACUGUUAUUUUGCCUCUGAUUGCCUUACGGACGUUGUAGAUGGUCUGUUUGUACAGGUCCAUGUUCCCAGUCACCUUGUCAUGGUCUGUUUGUACAGGUCCAUGUUCUCAGUCACCUUGUCAUGGUCUGUUUGUACAGGUCCAUGUUCUCAGUCACCUUGUCAUGGUCUGUUUGUACAGGUCCAUGUUCUCAGUCACCUUGUCAUGGUCUGUUUGUACAGGUCCAUGUUCCCAGUCACCUUGUCAUGGUCUGUUUGUACAGGUCCAUGUUCCCAGUCACCUUGUCAUGGUCUGUUUGUACAGGUCCAUGUUCCCAGUCACCUUGUCAUGGUCUGUUUGUACAGGUCCAUGUUCUCAGUCACCUUGUCAUGGUCUGUUUGUACAGGUCCAUGUUCCCAGUCACCUUGUCAUGGUCUGUUUGUACAGGUCCAUGUUCCCAGUCACCUUGUCAUGGUCUGUUUGUACAGGUCCAUGUUCCCAGUCACCUUGUCAUGGUCUGUUUGUACAGGUCCAUGUUCCCAGUCACCUUGUCAUGGUCUGUUUGUACAGGUCCAUGUUCUCAGUCACCUUGUCAU
This is a long non-coding RNA of Oncorhynchus keta (chum salmon), 732 nucleotides long. RefSeq lists it as uncharacterized. The record is from RefSeq and is a predicted model, not a curated record. Lineage: Eukaryota; Metazoa; Chordata; Actinopteri; Salmoniformes; Salmonidae. The transcript is spliced from 3 exons.